RNAcentral lists this ribosomal RNA (1563 nucleotides) under Legionella pneumophila. Its description in RNAcentral is "partial 23S ribosomal RNA". It matches the Rfam family "Bacterial large subunit ribosomal RNA", at positions 1370 to 2925 of the family's 2925-position model. The record is from RNAcentral. Lineage: Bacteria; Pseudomonadati; Pseudomonadota; Gammaproteobacteria; Legionellales; Legionellaceae.
CGGAGCAGGGUGAGUCGGCCCCUAAGGCGAGGCUGAAGAGCGUAGUCGAUGGGAACCAGGUUAAUAUUCCUGGACUUUUUAUAAGUGGUGAAGUGGGGACGAAGAAGGCUAGGUGAGCCAGGCGUUGGUUGUCCUGGUACUUGCAUGUAGGGGGGAAGACUUGGCAAAUCCGGUUUUCCAUAACUCUGAGGUGCGAAGUGGUUCUGACCUUUUGGUACAGAGAAGUCAUUGAUGCCCGGCUUCCAGGAAAAGCUGCUAGCCAUAACUUAUAGAGAACCGUACCGCAAACCGACACAGGUGGACAGGUAGAGAAUACUAAGGCGCUUGAGAGAACUCGGGUGAAGGAACUAGGCAAAAUGGUACCGUAACUUCGGGAGAAGGUACGCCCUUUUGGGUGAGGGCAUUUACUGUCUGAGCUUAAGAGGGCCGCAGAGACCAGGUGGCUGCGACUGUUUAUUAAAAACACAGCACUCUGCAAAUUCGUAAGAAGACGUAUAGGGUGUGACGCCUGCCCGGUGCCGGAAGGUUAAUUGAUGGGGUUAUCUUCGGAGAAGCUCUUGAUCGAAGCCCCGGUAAACGGCGGCCGUAACUAUAACGGUCCUAAGGUAGCGAAAUUCCUUGUCGGGUAAGUUCCGACCUGCACGAAUGGCGUAACGAUGGCCACACUGUCUCCACCCGAGACUCAGUGAAAUUGAAAUCGCUGUGAAGAUGCAGUGUACCCGCGGCUAGACGGAAAGACCCCGUGAACCUUUACUAUAGUUUUGCACUGGACUUUGAUGAUGACUGUGUAGGAUAGGUGGGAGGCUGUGAAGUGAGGACGCUAGUUCUCAUGGAGCCGCCCUUGAAAUACCACCCUGUUGUUAUUGAGGUUCUAACUUGGUCCAGUAAUCCUGGAUGAGGACAGUGUAUGAUGGGUAGUUUGACUGGGGCGGUCUCCUCCCAAAGAGUAACGGAGGAGCACAAAGGUACCCUCGGUACGGUCGGACAUCGUACCAAGAGUGUAAAGGCAAAAGGGUGCUUGACUGCGAGAGUGACGGCUCGAGCAGGAACGAAAGUUGGUCUUAGUGAUCCGGUGGUUCUGAAUGGAAGGGCCAUCGCUCAACGGAUAAAAGGUACUCCGGGGAUAACAGGCUGAUACCGCCCAAGAGUUCAUAUCGACGGCGGUGUUUGGCACCUCGAUGUCGGCUCAUCACAUCCUGGGGCUGAAGCAGGUCCCAAGGGUAUGGCUGUUCGCCAUUUAAAGUGGUACGCGAGCUGGGUUUAGAACGUCGUGAGACAGUUCGGUCCCUAUCUGCCGUGGGCGUAGGAAAAUUGAGAGGAGCUGCUCCUAGUACGAGAGGACCGGAGUGGACGAACCUCUGGUGCACCGGUUGUCACGCCAGUGGCAUGGCCGGGUAGCUAAGUUCGGACGGGAUAACCGCUGAAAGCAUCUAAGCGGGAAGCCUCCCUCAAGAUGAGUUUUCCCAUGAAGCCCGUUGAAGACUACGACGUUGAUAGGCAAGGUGUGGAAGCGCAGUAAUGCGUGAAGCUAACUUGUACUAAUUGGCUGAUUGUCUUGACCAU